GAUCCCAAGCCUUCUGGCGAUCUAUAAGAAGUCUUUGAUUUUGGCUUUGAGGAAUUAUUCCCGUUUUAUAAGAUUAUGCUGGGGAAGGUUUUCCGGUUUAUCCCGGAGGGCUUGUAGCUCAGUUGGUUAGAGCGCGCGCUUGAUAAGCGUGAGGUCGGAGGUUCAAGUCCUCCCAGGCCCACCAAAUUCAUUAAGUGCUUUUAAAGAGUACUUUUUGUGCGUGCAUAUAAAUUUUUACUGCGUGCACAUAAGAAACUAGCGUUUGUCGUCUUGACGUUUAUUUAAGAUGUUAGGUGUUGGUUUUUUCAUUUCGCUAAAGUGGAUUUGACCUAUGCUUUGCGCUUAGAUUUUUGAUCCUUUAUUCUAUAUUAGGGGCCGUAGCUCAGCUGGGAGAGCACCUGCUUUGCAAGCAGGGGG
This 417-nucleotide unclassified non-coding RNA is filed under the name Bartonella sp. KK200a. Its description in RNAcentral is "partial 16S-23S ribosomal RNA intergenic spacer". The stretch from base 108 to 181 matches the Rfam family "tRNA". Lineage: Bacteria; Pseudomonadati; Pseudomonadota; Alphaproteobacteria; Hyphomicrobiales; Bartonellaceae. The record is from RNAcentral. RNAcentral also lists the same sequence under 7 other names.